UCCAGACUCCUACGGGAGGCAGCAGUGAGGAAUAUUGGUCAAUGGGCGGGAGCCUGAACCAGCCAAGCCGCGUGAGGGAAGAAGGUACAGCGUAUCGUAAACCUCUUUUGUCAGGGAACAAAGGCGGGGACUAGUCCCCGGAUGAGGGUACCUGAAGAAAAAGCAUCGGCUAACUCCGUGCCAGCAGCCGCGGUAAUACGGAGGAUGCGAGCGUUAUCCGGAUUUAUUGGGUUUAAAGGGUGCGUAGGCGGGACCUUAAGUCAGCGGUAAAAUUGCGGUGCUCAACGCCGUAGAGCCGUUGAAACUGGGGCUCUUGAGUGAGCGAGAAGUAUGCGGAAUGCGUGGUGUAGCGGUGAAAUGCAUAGAUAUCACGCAGAACCCCGAUUGCGAAGGCAGCCUUCCGGCGCCCUACUGACGCUGAGGCACGAAAGUGCGGGGAUCGAACAGGAUUAGAUACCCCAGUAUG
RNAcentral lists this ribosomal RNA (466 nucleotides) under uncultured bacterium. Its description in RNAcentral is "bacterial SSU rRNA". It matches the Rfam family "Bacterial small subunit ribosomal RNA", at positions 330 to 794 of the family's 1533-position model. The record is from RNAcentral.